GGAGAGGUGCGAGAGUGGUCGAAUCGACAUGCUUGGAAAGCAUGCGUCCCAGCAAUGGGACCGUGGGUUCAAAUCCCACCCUCUCCGCCA
Molecule: transfer RNA, 90 nt
Filed under: Nitrospira sp.
Lineage: Bacteria; Pseudomonadati; Nitrospirota; Nitrospiria; Nitrospirales; Nitrospiraceae
Also listed under: 2 other names
Description: tRNA-Ser
Rfam family: tRNA
About the family: Transfer RNA (tRNA) molecules are approximately 80 nucleotides in length.
Source: RNAcentral